Long non-coding RNA from Dermochelys coriacea (leatherback sea turtle), 1447 nucleotides. RefSeq lists it as uncharacterized. The transcript has 3 exons. NCBI's taxonomy places the organism in Eukaryota, Metazoa, Chordata, Testudines, Dermochelyidae. The record is from RefSeq and is a predicted model, not a curated record.
UUGGUGCCUGCCUCCUCUUCAUGUGUGUGCAUAGGAGCAGCCAACAAAGUCUUUGUCCUUUGUUUCAUGUGGCUCAUUUGGUUUCACUGGGCUUUUUUGUGUACAGGACCAAAACCUUACACUAAUUAGUGCUUCUUUCUUGUUUGAUUAUGAGUUGACAAAAUGCCCUUUCAAAACAAAUGCAAUCUCCCUCUGAAAGGCACAGAUGGUGUUGUUCAUUUGGAGUUUUGCUGAGACAACCUUCAGUCUUCCCUCCUGUCAUACCAUUACAGCACAAAAACAAAAAAAAACAAAAAAAACAAAAACAACUUGAAGUCGAAUGAUUAUUUCAAAUGGAGGACAAGGACUGUCCAUUUUUUUUUUUUGAAGGGAAGAUGCUGGAAGGAGCCAUGCUGAAUAGUUAAUAUCCCAGUGAAUCCACCAGGACUUAAAGUGACUCAAUGUGUCAGGGAACAUGUCAAACUGCCAUCAAAACAAUAGACCUUGGUGGAAUUUAUAUCACUCCUUUUCUACCUUUGUAAGGAUGCCUCAUAAAGUUAGAAAUAGUAAGAAUGGAAAAAAAUUAAAAUAAUACACAGACUUCUAAAAAUGUAGGUAUAAAGCCUUUACAGCACUCUUCGGUCUCCUCCAGGACUCUUUGAAAUGCUUCUUUUUUAAAAAAAAUUAGUUUUGCCUGAAAAUCUGUAUCCAAUUUGAAUGAAAUUGAAUAUGUUUCAGAGCUCAAGCAGCAUGUCUUCCAUCUGAAACAAAAUGGAGAUGAAUUUCAAUUAGAUGUUCCCAUUAUAAUCUGUCUCCACCUGUAGUUUUCAUCAAAAUUGCUAGUAAGUGUGAUAUAAUGUAUGAUCAGGAUUUGCCCAUUGGCAGUAGUGUGCCUAUUAUCUUAGUAGAAAAGCACACAAUAAUUAGUCUGAUGCAUAUAGAUAGCAGCUUCUCACAGUGAAUGACUUCAAUUAUGAUGAGUAAUCUAUAUGGAGUUUGACACUUAUGUGUUCUCUCCUCUCUACCCCCCCCCCCAAAAAGAAGACACUAAUUAUUAAUUCAGUUGACAAAGAAACAAUGUUUCAAAAGAUUUAAUGUGAACUGAACAUAAUAGUCAAUGGCCACUGUGCAAUGUCCAUCUUAUGGUUUUAUUUUUGCCUAAGAUUGAUUAAUGGAAAUUCAUUUGUGCGAAUACACAUAAGCUUCAUUCUAGUGCUUUAGCAUUAACUCGUCAACAUUUUGCAAAUCAUGGCUAGACCUCCAGCCCAUCAGCAGUUUCUGUCCUCCAAUACUCUGAAGCCCUUUUGUCUUCCCAUAGCUGUCAUCGUGCUGUGAGCUUGGAAUUUUGUGAAAUUGCCUCAUGGCACAUUCCAUUUCCACAGUUUUGUAGGGGCUGAUAUCUGCUCAGUAGAGAGGAUAAAAUAAUUUAAGUUUGUACCCUCUCUUUUCACCCUGAAACUGACAAAAA